UACAGAGGGUGCGAGCGUUGUCCGGAAUCACUGGGCGUAAAGGGCGCGUAGGCGGCUUGAUAAGCGUGCGGUGAAAGCCCGGGGCUCAACCCCGGGUCGGCCGUGCGAACUGGCGAGCUGGAGCACUGUAGAGGCAGGUGGAAUUCCGGGUGUAGCGGUGGAAUGCGUAGAGAUCCGGAAGAACACCGGUGGCGAAGGCGGCCUGCUGGGCAGUGGCUGACGCUGAGGCGCGACAGCGUGGGGAGCAAACAGG
RNAcentral lists this ribosomal RNA (253 nucleotides) under uncultured bacterium. RNAcentral describes it as "partial 16S ribosomal RNA". It matches the Rfam family "Bacterial small subunit ribosomal RNA", at positions 524 to 776 of the family's 1533-position model. The record is from RNAcentral.